RNAcentral lists this ribosomal RNA (497 nucleotides) under uncultured bacterium. RNAcentral describes it as "partial 16S ribosomal RNA". It matches the Rfam family "Bacterial small subunit ribosomal RNA", at positions 28 to 507 of the family's 1533-position model. The record is from RNAcentral.
GAUGAACGCUGGCGGCGUGCCUAAUACAUGCAAGUCGAGCGAACGGACGAGAAGCUUGCUUCUCUGAUGUUAGCGGCGGACGGGUGAGUAACACGUGGAUAACCUACCUAUCAGACUGGGAUAACUUCGGGAAACAGGAGCUCAUACCGGAUAAUAUUUUGUACCGCAUGGUUCAAAAGUGAAAUACUGUCUUGCUGUCACUUAUACAUGGAUCCGCGCUGCAUUAGCUAGUUGGUAAUGUAACGGCUUCCAAAGGCAACGAUGCGUAGCCGACCUGAGAGGGGGAUUGGCCACACGGGAACUGAGACACGGUCCAGACUCCUACGGGAGGCAGCAGUCGGGAAUCGUACGCAAGGGGCGAAAGCCUGACGGAGCAACGGGGCGUGAGUGAUGAAGGUCCUCGGAUCGGAAAGCUCUGUUAUUAGGGGAGAACAUAUGUGUAAGUAACCGGGCAGAUAUUGACGGUACCUAAUCAAAAAGCCACGGCUAACUACGUG